GGGGGGAGCGCCUGUCCUGGGCUGUGUGUCCGGCACCCUGGGCUCCCGAUCCUGUGCUGUCGGAAUCACGCUCCCGGCGGCGCAGCCUCUU
RNAcentral lists this microRNA precursor (91 nucleotides) under Canis lupus familiaris (dog). RNAcentral describes it as "mir-8799 microRNA precursor family". It matches the Rfam family "mir-8799 microRNA precursor family". RNAcentral also lists the same sequence under 1 other name. Lineage: Eukaryota; Metazoa; Chordata; Mammalia; Carnivora; Canidae. The record is from Rfam by way of RNAcentral.